Molecule: ribosomal RNA, 450 nt
Filed under: uncultured bacterium
Lineage: Bacteria
Description: partial 16S ribosomal RNA
Rfam family: Bacterial small subunit ribosomal RNA
Source: RNAcentral
GUGGGGAAUAUUGGACAAUGGGCGAAAGCCUGAUCCAGCCAUGCCGCGUGUGUGAAGAAGGUCUUCGGAUUGUAAAGCACUUUAAGUUGGGAGGAAGGGCAGUAAGUUAAUACCUUGCUGUUUUGACGUUACCGACAGAAUAAGCACCGGCUAACUUCGUGCCAGCAGCCGCGGUAAUACGAAGGGUGCAAGCGUUAAUCGGAAUUACUGGGCGUAAAGCGCGCGCAGGUGGUUUUGUAAGUUGGAGGUGAAAUCCCCGGGCUCAACCUGGGAACUGCCUCCAAAACUGCAUGACUAGAGUACGGUAGAGGGUAGUGGAAUUUCCUGUGUAGCGGUGAAAUGCGUAGAUAUAGGAAGGAACACCAGUGGCGAAGGCGACUACCUGGACUGAUACUGACACUGAGGUGCGAAAGCGUGGGGAGCAAACAGGAUUAGAUACCCUUGUAGUCC